This 460-nucleotide ribosomal RNA is filed under the name uncultured bacterium. RNAcentral's name for it is "partial 16S ribosomal RNA". It matches the Rfam family "Bacterial small subunit ribosomal RNA", at positions 338 to 795 of the family's 1533-position model. The record is from RNAcentral.
CCUACGGGAGGCAGCAGUGAGGAAUAUUGGUCAAUGGGCGCGAGCCUGAACCAGCCAAGUCGCGUGAAGGAUGACGGCCCUACGGGUUGUAAACUUCUUUUAUAUGGGAAUAAAGUGAGGCACGUGUGCCUUUUUGUAUGUACUUUAUGAAUAAGCAUCGGCUAACUCCGUGCCAGCAGCCGCGGUAAUACGGAGGAUGCGAGCGUUAUCCGGAUUUAUUGGGUUUAAAGGGUGCGUAGGUGGUGGGUUAAGUCAGCUGUGAAAGUUUGCGGCUCAACCGUAGAAUUGCCGUUGAUCCUGGCAGUCUUGAGUACAGGUGAGGUAGGCGGAAUGCGUGGUGUAGCGGUGAAAUGCAUAGAUAUCACGCAGAACGCCGAUUGCGAAGGCAGCUUGCCGAGCCGCAACUGACGCUGAGGCACGAAAGCGUGGGGAUCGAACAGGAUUAGAUACCCGUGUAGUC